This 427-nucleotide ribosomal RNA is filed under the name uncultured bacterium. RNAcentral's name for it is "bacterial SSU rRNA". It matches the Rfam family "Bacterial small subunit ribosomal RNA", at positions 355 to 775 of the family's 1533-position model. The record is from RNAcentral.
UGGGGAAUAUUGGACAAUGGGCGAAAGCCUGAUCCAGCCAUGCCGCGUGAGUGAUGAAGGUCUUCGGAUCGUAAAGCUCUGUGGGAAGGGACGAAAAAAGCCGACCUAAUACGUCGGAGCUUGACGGUACCUUCUUAGCAAGCACCGGCUAACUCCGUGCCAGCAGCCGCGGUAAUACGGAGGGUGCAAACGUUGCUCGGAAUUAUUGGGCGUAAAGCGCACGUAGGCGGCUCGUUAAGUCGGAUGUGAAAGCCCUCGGCUCAACCGAGGAAGUGCAUCCGAAACUAGCGAGCUUGAGUACGGAAGAGGGUCUCGGAAUUCCCGGUGUAGAGGUGAAAUUCGUAGAUAUCGGGAGGAACACCAGUGGCGAAGGCGGAGACCUGGGCCGAUACUGACGCUGAGGUGCGAAAGCGUGGGGAGCAAACAG